UCUGGAUUCAACUGCUGGUAAGGGAUAUUAAAAUCCCUAAUUUCGUGGUACCUAGUUCCUCUUAGCUUGCUUUAGCUUUGGCCGCAUAAGCUUCGCUUUUGAAACCCUUCUUCCCCGAAAUCAUUUUUCCUCGUGCAUCAAAUUCUUGCUCCAUUGAGCUCACCGUUCGGUUUGACAUUGAAAUCGUUGUUCGGUUUGCCAUUAAAAUCCCUAAGUACAGGUUUUAUUCUUCCUCCAUUACUUAGUCUUCUUCCUCCAUUGAAAUUCCUAAGGUAAGUGUGUCGCAAUUAUCAUCCAGAUCUAUCUUUUAUUCUCCGUUCAUUGUGUUCAUCAUUCGCAAUCUCGGUCAUUUGUGUAUUCGUUAAUGGACGUCGCUUCUCUUCUUUGUUCAUUGUCUUCUUCAUUGUUUUGCAUUUUCGCCAUCCCUAAAUUGGAUUCAAUUUUCAGUUCAUCUUCUCCUGCAAUUCGUAAAUCCAUCAUGACCUAAACCUAAAAUUUGUUUUCCAUCCUCAACAAUCUUUCCAGCGUGAAGGUGGAGUGAACAGUGUUAGGAGCUUGAAGGCUUUCGUUGACGAGGGAUUUGACCGUGAGAAGAACCAGAACCAGGUAUGAGAGCUAACCCGUGUAUGUCCUUGUUUUUUUUCUUGACGUGACAAGCGAAAUAUUCGAAUUUGUGGCUCGAAGAUCGCUUCUGCUUCAACAAAUGGUCUCCGUAUCAUGAAACAAUUGAUUUUGAUGUCCACAGUAACCACGUUGAGUUUUUUUUAUCAUCAUUUAAAAGAUGAGCAUUUAACUCCUUUGUUUGAAGAGAUAGUAAAGUUAGAACGAGCUCUUUUCAACAUUCAGUGUGAACAACAUUGGCUUGAGGCUCACCCAGAACGCCAGGCAAUAGAAUACUCAAGCCAGCUGGGAGCACCAGGUGCUACCUUAUGUUCUUUGCCACCUUUAUUGUUGGUGGUUUGAUCCAACCCUGUUGUUUGAAACCUUCUCUUGGCUUGUUUUCUUGCUUGAUAAUUGUAUUUGCUUUCUUCAUCUCUGUCAGAUGUUAUUUGAACCUUAUCUUUUUCCCAGAUAAAGUCUUGUUCUAUCUAUGGUCAGCUGCAGUUUUGUUUUUAUAUUUGUCCCAGGUGCAGUCUUCCUCCCAUCUUUAUCUCAUUGCAGUCUAGACUCUGUAUUCACUUCCUAAGUCCCAUAUGUAAUGACACCAACACCUCGAGCAUAUCUCACAUUAUCAUCUAUCUAGUGUGAUAUUAGUCAAGGUUUUUGGUUGCGCCAUCUGUGAUUAUUACAAUUCUGUAACACCCCUUUAUUGUUGCUUUUCCUCCAUUUGAGCCCAUUGUCAUUGCUGACAAUUACUUGAUUCAUACGUUGCUUGGGCUGUUAUACGCACUCCACCUACUCUAAUCACUUCAGCGAUCAACUUGCACAGUGCAUUUCACAUGUUACUUUGACUCAUUCCAUGCCUUUCUUUGAACAUUCUUACAUGUGAAACAAAUAUAGAUAUGCAUAAAGCAUAAGGCCUGAAACGAAGAAAUCUCUGUUGUUUCGUCCACUGCGACCAUUUUCAAUUCUGUGUCAUUGCUCAGCUUGGCCAUUAACUCAACGUCCACCUCCUCCUUCUUUGUUCCAAAUAUUUUCCUACUGUUGUUCACUGAGCCUUUCAACUUCUCAAUCGAUUCACGGCUGAAACUGAAGAUUCUCUCUCGAAAGGGCGAGUCAACAUCGAAGGGAUAGAAAGCACCUCUUUGACGACUUUCUCCUGCAACUGAAGAGGUUGCAAUUCGUGUUCGGCAGGAGCUUGAGUACGUGUCUUUCUCCCAGCAAUGGACCAAAAAAUUCUUGCUAAUUCUGUAGCCUUCUUGCGGUGCUUGUUCCCAAGGUGCACAGUAGGACAUGUAAAUGACAAUAACAGAAGUCACUGAAAAUAGCUUGUGGCAAGACCCUGCUUGAACUAUUGAGGGAAAUCAUGUGAGUUGUCCAAUGAACAUGGAGGAAAAGGCCCACCACAUAGCUCUCCAUUUAUUUGUAUGUUUUUUUUAAAAUAUACAAUCGACUAACUAUUAUGAUAUAUUAUAGGUAUAUAAUCAAGGAAACAUGCUAAAUGAUGAAUGUAACGAAGAUGAAAAAAUUAUUUUUUUCAUUAAUUUUUAGUAUUGAACAUAUUUUUAUUAAAUUUUAUGUAUGAACAACUAGUUGUGUUUGUAUUGAUAUGCAAUGUAUGAAGUUUUGAGGAUGCAAAUAUCACCUGCUACUCUUUUCGUUGUGUCUGUAUUGAUAUGCUAGUAUCUUUAAGUGCUUUCCUAAAGCUGCCAAACAAGGAA
This is a long non-coding RNA of Vigna angularis (adzuki bean), 2321 nucleotides long. RefSeq lists it as uncharacterized. Lineage: Eukaryota; Viridiplantae; Streptophyta; Magnoliopsida; Fabales; Fabaceae. The transcript is spliced from 5 exons. The record is from RefSeq and is a predicted model, not a curated record.